UGGGUUAUGGCUCAGUGGUAGAGCGCUCACUUAACAUGUGUGAGGCAUUGGGUUCGAUCCUCAGCACCACAU
RNAcentral lists this transfer RNA (72 nucleotides) under Marmota marmota marmota (Alpine marmot). It matches the Rfam family "tRNA". From Rfam's summary of the family: Transfer RNA (tRNA) molecules are approximately 80 nucleotides in length. Lineage: Eukaryota; Metazoa; Chordata; Mammalia; Rodentia; Sciuridae. RNAcentral also lists the same sequence under 1 other name. The record is from Rfam by way of RNAcentral.